CUAAGGUGAUCGAGAGAACUCUCGUUAAGGAACUCGGCAAAAUGACCCCGUAACUUCGGGAGAAGGGGUGCUCUGUUAGGGUGCAAGCCCGAGAGAGCCGCAGUGAAUAGGCCCAGGCGACUGUUUAGCAAAAACACAGGUCUCUGCGAAGCCGUAAGACGAAGUAUAGGGGCUGACGCCUGCCCGGUGCUGGAAGGUUAAGAGGAGCGCUUAGCGUAAGCGAAGGUGCGAAUUGAAGCCCCAGUAAACGGCGGCCGUAACAAUAACGGUCCUAAGGUAGCGAAAUUCCUUGUCGGGUAAGUUCCGACCCGCACGAAAGGCGCAACGAUCUGGGCACUGUCUCAACGAGAGACUCGGUGAAAUUAUAGUACCUGUGAAGAUGCAGGUUACCCGCGACAGGACGGAAAGACCCCGUGGAGCUUUACUGCAGCCUGAUAUUGAAUGUUGGUACAGCUUGUACAGGAUAGGUAGGAGCCUUGGAAACCGGAGCGCCAGCUUCGGUGGAGGCAUCGGUGGGAUACUACCCUGGCUGUAUUGACCUUCUAACCCGCCGCCCUUAUCGGGCGGGGAGACAGUGUCAGGUGGGCAGUUUGACUGGGGCGGUCGCCUCCUAAAAGGUAACGGAGGCGCCCAAAGGUUCCCUCAGAAUGGUUGGAAAUCAUUCGCAGAGUGUAAAGGCACAAGGGAGCUUGGCUGCGAGACCUACAAGUCGAGCAGGGACGAAAGUCGGGCUUAGUGAUCCGGGGGUUCCGCAUGGAAGGGCCAUCGCUCAACGGAUAAAAGCUACCCCGGGGAUAACAGGCUUAUCUCCCCCAAGAGUCCACAUCGACGGGGGGGUUUGGCACCUCGAUGUCGGCUCAUCGCAUCCUGGGGCUGUAGUCGGUCCCAAGGGUUGGGCUGUUCGCCCAUUAAAGCGGUACGCGGGCUGGGUUCAGAACGUCGUGAGACAGUUCGGUCCCUAUCCGUCGCGGGCGCAGGAAAUUUGAGAGGAGCUGUCCUUAGUACGAGAGGACCGGGAUGGACGCACCGCUGGUGUACCAGUUGUUCUGCCAAGGGCAUCGCUGGGUAGCUAUGUGCGGACGGGAUAAGUGCUGAAAGCAUCUAAGCAUGAAGCCCCCCUCAAGAUGAGAUUUCCCAUUCCGCAAGGAAGUAAGAUCCCUGAAAGAUGAUCAGGUUGAUAGGUCUGAGGUGGAAGUGUGGCGACACAUGGAGCUGACAGAUACUAAUCGAUCGAGGACUUAACC
RNAcentral lists this ribosomal RNA (1244 nucleotides) under metagenome. Its description in RNAcentral is "bacterial LSU rRNA". It matches the Rfam family "Bacterial large subunit ribosomal RNA", at positions 1681 to 2925 of the family's 2925-position model. The record is from RNAcentral.